This 492-nucleotide ribosomal RNA is filed under the name uncultured bacterium. Its description in RNAcentral is "partial 16S ribosomal RNA". It matches the Rfam family "Bacterial small subunit ribosomal RNA", at positions 29 to 507 of the family's 1533-position model. The record is from RNAcentral.
AGUGAACGCUGGCGGUAGGCCUAACACAUGCAAGUCGAGCGGCAGCACAGUAAGAGCUUGCUCUUACGGGUGGCGAGUGGCGGACGGGUGAGGAAUACAUCGGAAUCUACUUUUUCGUGGGGGAUAACGUAGGGAAACUUACGCUAAUACCGCAUACGACCUACGGGUGAAAGCAGGGGAUCUUCGGACCUUGUGCGAUUGAAUGAGCCGAUGUCGGAGUAGCUAGUUGGCGGGGUAAAGGCCCACCAAGGCGACGAUCCGUAGCUGGUCUGAGAGGAUGGUCAGCCACACUGGAACUGAGACACGGUCCAGACUCCUACGGGAGGCAGCAGUGGGGUAUAGUGGACAAUGGUCGCAAGCCUGAUCCAGCCAUACCGCGUGGGUGAAGAAGGCCUUCGGGUUGUAAAGCCCUUUUGUUGGGAAAGAAAAGCAGCAGGUUAAUACCCCGCUGUUCUGACGGUACCCAAAGAAUAAGCACCGGCUAACUUCGUG